This 434-nucleotide ribosomal RNA is filed under the name uncultured bacterium. RNAcentral's name for it is "partial 16S ribosomal RNA". It matches the Rfam family "Bacterial small subunit ribosomal RNA", at positions 29 to 507 of the family's 1533-position model. The record is from RNAcentral.
AGCGAACGCUGGCGGCAGGCCUAACACAUGCAAGUCGAACGAACCUUUCGGGGUUAGUGGCGGACGGGUGAGUAACACGUGGGAACGUGCCUUUAGGUUCGGAAUAACUCAGGGAAACUUGUGCUAAUACCGAAUGUGCCCUUCGGGGGAAAGAUUUAUCGCCUUUAGAGCGGCCCGCGUCUGAUUAGCUAGUUGGUUGAGGUAAUGGCUCACCAAGGCGACGAUCAGUAGCUGGUCUGAGAGAAUGAUCAGCCACAUUGGGACUGAGACACGGCCCAAACUCCUACGGGAAGCAGCAGUGGGGAAUCUUGCGCAAUGGGCGAAAGCCUGACGCAGCCAUGCCGCGUGAAUGAUGAAGGUCUUAGGAUUGUAAAAUUCUUUCACCGGGGACGAUAAUGACGGUACCCGGAGAAGAAGCCCCGGCUAACUUCGUG